RNAcentral lists this ribosomal RNA (492 nucleotides) under uncultured bacterium. RNAcentral describes it as "partial 16S ribosomal RNA". It matches the Rfam family "Bacterial small subunit ribosomal RNA", at positions 29 to 507 of the family's 1533-position model. The record is from RNAcentral.
AGUGAACGCUGGCGGUAGGCCUAACACAUGCAAGUCGAACGGCAGCACAGUAAGAGCUUGCUCUUACGGGUGGCGAGUGGCGGACGGGUGAGGAAUAGAUCGGAAUCUACUUUUUCGUGGGGGAUAACGUAGAGACACUUACGCUAAUACCGAAUACGACCUACGGGAGAAAUCAGGGGAUAUUCGUACUUUUGGCGAUUGAAUUAGCCGAUGCCGGAUUAGCUAGUUGGCGGGGUAAAGGCCCACCAAGGCGACGAUCCGUAGCUGGUCUGAGAGGAUGAUCGGCCACACUGGAACUGAGACACGGUCCAGACUCCUACGGGAGGCAGCAGUGGGGAAUAUUGGGCAAUGGGCGAAAGCCUGAUGCAGCCACACCGCGUGGGUGAAGAAGGCCUUCGGGUUGUAAAGCCCUUUUGUUGGGAAAGAAAAUCAGCAGAUUAAUACCUCGAUGUUCUGACGGUACCCAAAGAAAAAGCACCGGCUAACUUCGUG